GCCCGUUUAGCUCAGUCUGGUUAGAGCGCCGCUCUGAUAAAGCGGAGGCCCCUGGUUCAAAUCCAGGAUCGGGCA
RNAcentral lists this transfer RNA (75 nucleotides) under Spirochaetota bacterium. RNAcentral describes it as "Spirochaetes bacterium tRNA-Ile". It matches the Rfam family "tRNA". From Rfam's summary of the family: Transfer RNA (tRNA) molecules are approximately 80 nucleotides in length. Lineage: Bacteria; Pseudomonadati; Spirochaetota. The record is from RNAcentral.